This 2628-nucleotide ribosomal RNA is filed under the name Triticum aestivum (bread wheat). Its description in RNAcentral is "partial small subunit ribosomal RNA". The record is from RNAcentral. Lineage: Eukaryota; Viridiplantae; Streptophyta; Magnoliopsida; Poales; Poaceae.
AUGCGUUGCAGUAGCAGGGGGAAGGAUAACAUGCCUAGGGAGGUCAACAAAAGGAGCAAGAGGAUACACAUACCCAAUGCACAAGAUGGUUGCGGCGCGUCGCUUCCGUACGAGAUGAUCAUACAGGUUUUGCAGUGGCUCCCAGUCAAAUCCGUCUUCCGCUUCAGGGCAGUUUGCCGUUCCUGGGCUGCGCUGCUCACCUCCAGUGAAUUCCGCUGCCUCCACAUGGCAGUAGCCAAGGCACCAAGGUGGCAGGCACCACCACCCAAGCUGCUAUACAUCUCACCUACUGCCACAUUCGACUCCACCGCGGUCUACUCGUGCUCCUUCUCGCCAUCAUUAUCAUCGGGCCGCCCCAGAGAUCGUGGGGACCUACUAUUCACCAUCGACGGUGCCCGUGGCAACUAUGUGGAGGUAGUGACGCCCGCGCCGUGCCAUGGCCUCACCCUUCUCUACGAUGCUCUCGACACAGCCUACUACAUCUGCAACGCGGCCACACGGGCAGCCACACGUUUGCCGCCUUCUACUGACGUAGCGUGCGACUCCAGUGCUGGGCUGGGAUUUGAUACCCGCAUGGAUGAGCACAAGGUGGUGAGGUUGAUCAAUGGGAUGUUAAGUCAGAAGGACUUGGACCCGGUGAGGUGCGAGGUGUACACGCCUAGAGGCCCCUAUGUGGAUUGCCGCUGGAGGCCGGCUGCCAGAGGAGUACCCUCCAGCUUGCAUAAAUUUGUACAUGCCGCUGUUAUUAAUGCGUCAUGCAACAAAUUAUCUCCCGUGUUUGCCAAUGGUUGCCUCCACUGGUUGAUGACACCUGCCUCUUUCAUCAUGACUCCAAGUGUUGCCAUCGUGUCCUUUUCGGUCGCAGAGGAGACCUUCACAUGUCUCCGGUCACCGCCCUUCUGGGUACCAGGAGCGCCUCCAACCUCCAGGAAUUGGUCAUCAGGAGAGGUUGAACUAUUGGAGCUGGAUGACCAACUAUGUUUGGUUCGCAACAGAAUGCCUCAUGGUAGUAACACUUUGGAGAUAUGGAAACUGCUGGACUAUAGCUCUGGUGACUGGUUGCUGAAUCAUCGAAUUAGUUUGUCAGGGCAUCUGGCAAGGGAUUUGCGUCAGUCACAAAUUCUGAGAGUUAUUGGAUCCUUUGGCAGUUACAGGUCGUCAAGGAAGAAGAUAAUCAUUACUACUAGCAUGCACAAGAUUUUCAACAAAUAUCAGAAAAUGGUUCACACCUAUGAUCCUAGGUCUGAGGCUCUGGAAACCAUUCUUUCAAUCACGGAGACACACUCAACUCCACAUUAUGGGUGCCCUAGUUCAAGAUUCAGUUUCAUUCAAGAGACCCUUGCUCCCGUGCAUACAACAGAUGAAGAGAUAGCCUUGUCAUCUGACCUGGCUAAGGCGACUAGAGAGAUCCUACUCCGCCUCCCAGCUAAAUCAGCCAUACAGUCCAAAUUUGUCUGCAAGCAGUGGUUCAGAUUGAUUGAGAGUAAAAACUUCAUUCAGUCAUAUUUUCAGCAUAAGAACAUAGGCAAAAGGCCUAAAGUCAUGCUUGUGGUCAAGAGCACUGGACGAUUGGGCUUCAGUUUUGCUCCAUUGAAUAAACGCCUCCAAGAAGCUCCUAGUCACAGUACAUUGCUUGAUACAAAGGUGGUUUGCUCCAAGCCUUGCCAUGGGCUGAACUUGGUAAGCACCGAUACGAACGACUACCUCUGCAAUCCAUGUACAGGUUUCCACAGGGCCUACUCUAACCUGGGGCCAAAUUUGCACCUACGCUCGAGAAUGCCUAAAACAGAAGAGCAUGCUUUUACAGUCGGCAAUAAAAAUGUUGGCUUGACUUUCUACCCUUUGACUCGUGAACAUGUUAUCGUGGAAAUCUUCUAUCACCGGAAGGACUUUGAAUCUCGUCAGUAUGACAUGUCAUGCGCGUUACACUGGUGUAACACUCCGAAUGCUGCCCAACAGCACUCGGUACCACCUCUGCCUGUGAAUGAUAUGCCACCGGCCUAUGUUGAAGGAAUGUUGUAUUGGAUGAAUGAACCAAGGUUGGGACAGAGCUGCGAAUGGACCAUUGUCUCUUUCAACCUUGCUACAAGUACUUUCGAUGUCGUCCGGUGCCCUUUGUGGUUUGCAAGAUGGAGUAGCAGAAACCGCUGUCGUGCAUUUGUUGUUGAGCUUGAGGGAGUGUUAUGUGCUGUUCUAGCAGAUCCAGUUGCAGACAAAUUAGAUGUAUGGAAGCUAGAGCAUGGCCAAUGGGGCAGAGCAUACACAAUUCACCUGGAAGCAUGCCCUGGCUAUUCCCUCAAGACAAGCGUUGUGGUGCCAUUAGCUGUUGAUCCCGAUCAUGGGAGGAUCCUGCUCAAUACUGGUAGGAAAAUAGGUCUAUAUGAUCCAGUAGAGCAAACAAUUCAAAAUCUGUAUUCACUUGAUCAGGUGCCGGUUGCCAGUAGUGCACACCUUAAGUUUCUUGAUAUGCCUUCAACUUCAUCAGGGGAUAGUUUGACAUGCUCCGAAGAAGAGUCAGUGGCGGAGACAAAUAGAAUGGACUCUAACUUGAUUCCUUCUGUUCCUAUGUUAUAUGAGGAGAGCCUGGCAUGUUACUCCUUUGUGCGCAAAGCAAACUGCUUGUGGUGA